UUAUGUUCUGACAGCUCACGCGUUCCAGAAUAAAUUUCGUUCACAAUUAUUAUUAUUUUAUAUUGUUUUGAAUGAACAAUAUAUUUUGCCACUGGCAAAUUUCUGAAUGAAGGAACACUGAAAACGACGUUUGGAUGCAGACGCCUACAUCGAAUGCUAAUUGCUAUUAUUCGGCUCUCUCUCUCUCUCAAAAACCUUCUUCUGCUGAAUGAUCGCUACGAAGCGAACAAUGCGGAAUUUGAGAUUCUCGGAUGUUUUUUUUG
This is a non-coding RNA of Caenorhabditis elegans, 263 nucleotides long. The record is from Ensembl. Lineage: Eukaryota; Metazoa; Nematoda; Chromadorea; Rhabditida; Rhabditidae.